Small nuclear RNA from Dipodomys spectabilis (banner-tailed kangaroo rat), 106 nucleotides. The record is from RefSeq and is a predicted model, not a curated record. Lineage: Eukaryota; Metazoa; Chordata; Mammalia; Rodentia; Heteromyidae.
GUGCUCAAUUCAGCAGCACAUACACUAAAAUUGGAGCAAUACAGAGAGGAUUAGCAUGGCCCUGCGCAAGGUUCACAUGCAAAUUAUUGAAUCCUUCCAUAUUUUU